This 458-nucleotide ribosomal RNA is filed under the name uncultured bacterium. Its description in RNAcentral is "bacterial SSU rRNA". It matches the Rfam family "Bacterial small subunit ribosomal RNA", at positions 339 to 791 of the family's 1533-position model. The record is from RNAcentral.
GUACGGGAGGCAGCAGUGGGGAAUUUUGGGCAAUGGGCGAAAGCCUGACCCAGCAACGCCGCGUGAAGGAUGAAAUCCCUCGGGAUGUAAACUUCGCAAGAACGGGAAGAAUAAGCCGGUGUUAACACCAUCGGUGAUGACGGUACUGUUUGUAAGCUCCGGCUAACUCCGUGCCAGCAGCCGCGGUAAUACGGGGGGAGCAAUCGUUGUUCGGAUUUACUGGGCGUAAAGGGCGCGUAGGCGGCCACCGCAAGUCGACUGUGAAAUCUCUGGGCUUAACCCAGAACGGUCAGCCGAUACUGCGGGGCUAGAGUGCAGAAGGGGCAACUGGAAUUCUCGGUGUAGCGGUGAAAUGCGUAGAUAUCGAGAGGAACACCUGCGGCGAAGGCGGGUUGCUGGGCUGACACUGACGCUGAGGCGCGAAAGCUAGGGGAGCGAACGGGAUUAGAUACCCGCGU